UUUGGUCAAAUAGAUGUUUAAAAUUCCUAAAACAGUGUUUUGACUUUGUUCAAACAAAUGUUUGAAACCAACAGUGGGGUUAAAACAGAUGUUUGAAAGCAGAUGAUGCUUUCAGACGUUUGAAACAGAUGAUGCUUUCAGACGUUUGGUCAAACAGAUGUUUGAAAGCAGAUGAUGCUUUCAGACGGAAGGAAUAUCAGAUAGCUGUAGAUGCUUAUAUUCAGUCUCUGUUGGAUGCGCCUUGGGUAAGCUGAUCGGGCGUAAAGUCAAAUAUACGGAUGGUGAUGAUACUCGAUUGGUGUGGAAACCAAAGGCGAAGGUAUGAUUUUCAUGUGUUUUCAGAUUUUUUUGUGGAGAAAAUGAUCACGAAAAUGCUGAUCGAUACGACGAUGAAGAUAAGCGUCUCAGAAUUAUAUCUGUUUUUUUAUUAACCCUUUUAACCUCUGUUGACCAACCCUCUUAACCUCUGUUGAUUAACCCGUUCUAACCCCUGUUGACCAUUAGUUCGUAUCAGAGGUUUGAGCUUGAGCUGGUAAGUUGAAGUCGCCGCUUCCGCCACAUCCACUUCCGUCUAACGGGCUUAAGCGGAAGCUUAGUAACGAUUUCGGUGUUGAAAAUGGCGUAUCCUGAUCGGAUGAUAUUGGAGUCAAGGUAGUUUUUGUAAAUCUAACAGAAUUUAUUAUUUUUAUUAGUUUAAAGUUUAAACACAAUUGUUGUAUUAGAUUUAUAAUAUUAUUAUGAUUAUGAUGUGGCUCGGUUUAGGCUAUAGUUUAAAGUUCCAACAAUAUUUUCUGAGUCUAGAUUGAAGACAGUGUAAUUCCAAUUCAUCUCUCAACUUGAUGUUACAUAAAGCGAACAAUUUUUGCAUUCUUAAGUGUUUUUUUCUUUAUCUCUAUAGCUAUGAUUUUGACGGAGCCCCUCCUAAUAUGAAGAAACAAGAGCUUGCAAAACGGUAAGUUGGUAAUCCGAUUCUUGCUCCAUGCCUAAUUAAUAUUUAAAUAUAAAUGUCAGUAGUUUUGGUGUAAGGUUUAAAUGGUUUUACGAGUUAUGAUAUAAUUACUCAAGGAGAGAAGACACAACAACUGGCUUAAAUGAGGCUAUAAAAGUAAAUUAAGUGUUUUUUUCUUUCUUGAUUGUGCAUUUGAAUGUUUUGCCUAUUGCUUUCACUUUAUUUUUCCAAUUUCUUGCAUUCUUUAAUUCACUCUUCACUUAAUCAUUUGUCACAUGUUGCUGUUAUUGUAGUCUGGCGAUAAGGAAGAUAGCGAUGAAUUUAGUAAACGUACAGUGAAGGAUAUGCAAGAUAUUAGAAACUAUUAUGAAGGAUUACUGUCUGCUGUUGCAGCUAUGACAAAUAGUAUAUUUGUUCUCAGAGACUACAGGAAGUAGGGACCUGUUUGCUGAACAAAACCAUAACCGAUGCUGAUAGUGAAUGUGGUAGAGUGUUAUCAACUCUAGGAAAUAUACAAUCAGAACUCCAAAAUAUUGUUGAUAUUUAUCACUAUAUGUGAUCAUGACAAUUACAAAUCCAUUAGAAUCUCUGUUAUCCGAGCUGCAAAAAGUGGAGGUUUGUCUUUCUUGAUCUAUAUCCAAAUUCUUUUUCAGUAUAAUUAGGGAUGUCCUAAUUUUUUUUAUUUAUGCACAAUAUUUCAGUAGUUUAUUUAUUGCCAUUAACUUAAUUAUGGCUUAACACUUUGUCACCAAGGAAGAGAAAGCCCAGGUGUUCCAGAAGGUCAAAGUGGUCAAAGUUCAUCUGAUGUUUCAAGAUUUACAAUCAUGGAAUAUAGAACAAUGUGUGCUUGAUUGUUAUUUAGUUGUUAUUUAAAAGAUGUUCCACUAUAUUAGUUAUUUAUUUGUUAUUAAAAAGAUGUUCCGUUUUUUUA
Molecule: long non-coding RNA, 1880 nt
Organism: Helianthus annuus (common sunflower)
Lineage: Eukaryota; Viridiplantae; Streptophyta; Magnoliopsida; Asterales; Asteraceae
Exons: 6
Source: RefSeq, a predicted model, not a curated record